GGGACUGUAGCUCAGUGGUUAGAGCGCUCGCCAGAUGAGCGAGAGGUCGUGGGUUCGAAUCCCAGCCAGCCCCA
Molecule: transfer RNA, 74 nt
Filed under: Massilia sp. BJB1822
Lineage: Bacteria; Pseudomonadati; Pseudomonadota; Betaproteobacteria; Burkholderiales; Oxalobacteraceae
Description: tRNA-Ile
Rfam family: tRNA
About the family: Transfer RNA (tRNA) molecules are approximately 80 nucleotides in length.
Source: RNAcentral